Molecule: non-coding RNA, 72 nt
Organism: Phrynosoma platyrhinos (Desert horned lizard)
Lineage: Eukaryota; Metazoa; Chordata; Lepidosauria; Squamata; Phrynosomatidae
Source: the annotation of a GenBank genome assembly
CCCAGCGUGGCCUAGUGGUUUGAUUGUUGGACUACACCUCUGGAGACCAGGGUUCGAAUCCCAGCUCAGCCA